CGGGGAGAGGGCAGGCAGUGGGGGAUAUGACAAUGGCGAAGCUGAUGCAGCACGCCGCGUGAGGGAUGACGGCUCCGGGUGUAACUCUUUAAGCAAGGAAGAAGCGAAAGUGACGGUACUGCAGAAAAAAGCGCCGGCUAACUACGUGCCAGCAGCCGCGGUAAUACGUAGGGCGCAAGCGUUAUCCCGGAAUUAUUGGGCGUAAAGAGCUCGUAGGCGGUUUGUCGCGUCUGCUGUGAAAACCCGAGGCUCAACCUCGGGCCUGCAGUGGGUACGGGCAGACUAGAGUGCGGUAGGGGAGAUUGGAAUUCCUGGUGUAGCGGUGGAAUGCGCAGAUAUCAGGAGGAACACCGAUGGCGAAGGCAGAUCUCUGGGCCGUAACUGACGCUGAGGAGCGAAAGGGUGGGGAGCAAACAGGCUUAGAUACCCUGGUAGUCCACCCCGUAAACGUUGGGAACUAGUUGUGGGGUCCAUUCCACGGAUUCCGUGACGCAGCUAACGCAUUAAGUUCCCCGCCUGGGGAGUACGGCCGCAAGGCUAAAACUCAAAGGAAUUGACGGGGACCCGCACAAGCGGCGGAGCAUGCGGAUUAAUUCGAUGCAACGCGAAGAACCUUACCAAGGCUUGACAUAUACGAGAACGGGCCAGAAAUGGUCAACUCUUUGGACACUCGUAAACAGGUGGUGCAUGGUUGUCGUCAGCUCGUGUCGUGAGAUGUUGGGUUAAGUCCCGCAACGAGCGCAACCCUCGUUCUAUGUUGCCAGCACGUAAUGGUGGGAACUCAUGGGAUACUGCCGGGGUCAACUCGGAGGAAGGUGGGGAUGACGUCAAAUCAUCAUGCCCCUUAUGUCUUGGGCUUCACGCAUGCUACAAUGGCCGGUACAAAGGGCUGCAAUACCGCAAGGUGGAGCGAAUCCCAAAAAGCCGGUCCCAGUUCGGAUUGAGGUCUGCAACUCGACCUCAUGAAGUCGGAGUCGCUAGUAAUCGCAGAUCAGCAACGCUGCGGUGAAUACGUUCCCGGGUCUUGUACACACCGCCCGUCAAGUCUUGAAACUCGGUACCACUUUUUUUCCCCGCCCCUAUAAGGUGUCACAAUGUCGCUAGAGAGUACG
RNAcentral lists this ribosomal RNA (1112 nucleotides) under Microbacterium saccharophilum. RNAcentral's name for it is "bacterial SSU rRNA". It matches the Rfam family "Bacterial small subunit ribosomal RNA", at positions 342 to 1451 of the family's 1533-position model. The record is from RNAcentral. Lineage: Bacteria; Bacillati; Actinomycetota; Actinomycetes; Micrococcales; Microbacteriaceae.